CCUACGGGGGGCAGCAGUGGGGAAUAUUGGACAAUGGGGGGAACCCUGAUCCAGCCAUGCCGCGUGUGUGAAGAAGGCCCUCGGGUUGUAAAGCACUUUCAGUGAGGAAGAACGCCUGGUGGUUAAUACCCAUCAGGAAAGACAUCACUCACAGAAGAAGCACCGGCUAACUCCGUGCCAGCAGCCGCGGUAAUACGGAGGGUGCGAGCGUUAAUCGGAAUUACUGGGCGUAAAGCGCGCGUAGGUGGCUUGAUAAGCCGGUUGUGAAAGCCCCGGGCUCAACCUGGGAACGGCAUCCGGAACUAUCAAGCUAGAGUGCAGGAGAGGAAGGUAGAAUUCCCGGUGUAGCGGUGAAAUGCGUAGAGAUCGGGAGGAAUACCAGUGGCGAAGGCGGCCUUCUGGACUGACACUGACACUGAGGUGCGAAAGCGUGGGUAGCAAACAGGAUUAGAUACCCCGGUAGUC
Molecule: ribosomal RNA, 465 nt
Filed under: Vreelandella stevensii
Lineage: Bacteria; Pseudomonadati; Pseudomonadota; Gammaproteobacteria; Oceanospirillales; Halomonadaceae
Description: partial 16S ribosomal RNA
Rfam family: Bacterial small subunit ribosomal RNA
Source: RNAcentral